GCCUGGGUGGCUUAGUCGGUUAAGCGUCCGACUUCAGCUCAGGUCGCGACCUUGCGGUCUGUGAGUUCGAGCUCCGCCUCGGGCU
RNAcentral lists this transfer RNA (85 nucleotides) under Felis catus (domestic cat). It matches the Rfam family "tRNA". From Rfam's summary of the family: Transfer RNA (tRNA) molecules are approximately 80 nucleotides in length. Their secondary structure includes four short double-helical elements and three loops (D, anti-codon, and T loops). Lineage: Eukaryota; Metazoa; Chordata; Mammalia; Carnivora; Felidae. The record is from Rfam by way of RNAcentral.